GACGAACGCUGGCGGCGUGCUUAACACAUGCAAGUCGAACGGAAAGGCCCAGCUUUUGUGGGGUUCUCGAGUGGCGAACGGGUGAGUAACACGUGAGUAACCUGCCCUUGACUUUGGGAUAACUUCAGGAAACUGGGGCUAAUACCGGAUAGGAGCUCCUGCUGCAUGGUGGGGGUUGGAAAGCUUCGGCGGUUGGGGAUGGACGCGCGGCUUAUCAGCUUGUUGGUGGGGGAGUGGCUUACCAAGCCUUUGACGGGUAGCCGGCCUGAGAGGGUGACCGGCCACAUUGGGACUGAGGGACGGCACAGAGUCCUACGGGGGGCAGCAGUCGGGAAUAUUGCACAGCGGUCGGAAGCCUGAUGCAGCAAUGUCGGGUGCGGGAUGACGGCCUUCUUGUGGUAAGCCGCUUUCGCCUGUGACGAUGCGUGAGUGACGGUAAUGGGUAAAGAAGCACCGGCUAACUACGUG
RNAcentral lists this ribosomal RNA (468 nucleotides) under uncultured bacterium. RNAcentral's name for it is "partial 16S ribosomal RNA". It matches the Rfam family "Bacterial small subunit ribosomal RNA", at positions 28 to 507 of the family's 1533-position model. The record is from RNAcentral.